This 253-nucleotide ribosomal RNA is filed under the name uncultured bacterium. Its description in RNAcentral is "partial 16S ribosomal RNA". It matches the Rfam family "Bacterial small subunit ribosomal RNA", at positions 524 to 776 of the family's 1533-position model. The record is from RNAcentral.
UACGGAGGGAGCUAGCGUUGUUCGGAAUUACUGGGCGUAAAGCGCACGUAGGCGGCUUUUUAAGUCAGGGGUGAAAUCCCGGGGCUCAACCCCGGAACUGCCUUUGAAACUGGAAAGCUAGAAUCUUGGAGAGGCGAGUGGAAUUCCGAGUGUAGAGGUGAAAUUCGUAGAUAUUGGGAGGAACACCGGUGGCGAAGGCGGCCAUCUGGGCUACAACUGACGCUGAGGCGCGAGAGCGUGGGGAGCAAACAGG